This 740-nucleotide ribosomal RNA is filed under the name uncultured bacterium. Its description in RNAcentral is "bacterial SSU rRNA". It matches the Rfam family "Bacterial small subunit ribosomal RNA", at positions 8 to 796 of the family's 1533-position model. The record is from RNAcentral.
AGAGUUUGAUCCUGGCUCAGAACGAACGCUGGCGGCAGGCUUAACACAUGCAAGUCGAGCGCCCCGCAAGGGGAGCGGCGGACGGGUGAGUAACACGUGGGAACAUGCCCUUUGGUACGGAACAACUCAGGGAAACUUGAGCUAAUACCGUAUGUGCCGGUAACGGGAAAGAUUUAUCGCCAAAGGAUUGGCCCGCGUCCGAUUAGCUAGUUGGUGAGGUAACGGCCCACCAAGGCUCCGAUCGGUAGCUGGUUUGAGAGAACGACCAGCCACACUGGGACUGAGACACGGCCCAGACUCCUACGGGAGGCAGCAGUGGGGAAUCUUGGACAAUGGGGGAAACCCUGAUCCAGCCAUGCCGCGUGAGUGAUGAAGGCCUUCGGGUUGUAAAACUCUUUCGACGGGGACGAUAAUGACGGUACCCGUAGAAGAAGCUCCGGCUAACUUCGUGCCAGCAGCCGCGGUAAUACGAAGGGGGCUAGCGUUGUUCGGAAUUACUGGGCGUAAAGCGCGCGCAGGCGGCUUCUCAAGUCAGGGGUGAAAGCCCAGAGCUCAACUCUGGAACUGCCCUUGAAACUGUGGAGCUUGAGUACGGGAGAGGUGAGUGGAAUUCCCAGUGUAGAGGUGAAAUUCGUAGAUAUUGGGAAGAACACCGGUGGCGAAGGCGGCUCACUGGCCCGUUUCUGACGCUCAGGCGCGACAGCGUGGGGAUCAAACAGGAUUAGAUACCCUAGUAGUCC